UCUGCCGCGGCCGGGAAGUUCGAACAGAAGUCUGGGGAAGAGCCGGCGAAGAGCAAAGAGAUAAUACAGUACUCCCAGCUAUAGCAAGCGGCAGUUAUGGAGCAUGCGCAGCAGCAGGGGCGGCCGCAGGUCGCCGUUCAAUAAUACUCAAGGGAUUUGUACAGCCCUGUAGGAGACACCUCCAGAGAAAGUAACAGCUCUCAAUUGAUUAGCUGAGAAGCCUCAGGGGCUGGAUCCUGACAUGAACCAGACACCUCCAGAAUUCUAUCCCAAGCAAAAGAUUAUUUCAAGGCCAGAACUCACUCCCUGCUGGAGACUGACUACAAGAUCCACUGAGAUUGAUGUGUAACCUGAUUGGGCCCACAGUGAUGCUAGCCCCUUCACCAGAUGGAACAAUAAUUCCAGACAAGCCAUCAGAGCAGAGAGCAGAGAAGAGGAGAAGCAGCUGGAUGUCAGAGACUGCAGUUUGACGUUGGAGAAAAGCAGCUUGACUUCAGAGGGACAGCUUGACAGCAUGGAUUCAGAGAGGAGAAGAUCACCUUCCUGCUCCGUCCCCUUUCCAGCUCCCUUUCCCACUGAGAGCCACUUACACAGGCAAUAAAAUCCUCUG
RNAcentral lists this long non-coding RNA (610 nucleotides) under Homo sapiens (human). RNAcentral's name for it is "HSALNT0308267". The record is from RNAcentral. Lineage: Eukaryota; Metazoa; Chordata; Mammalia; Primates; Hominidae.